CUACGGGCUGCUCCAGUGGGGAAUAUUGGACAAUGGGCGAUAGCCUGAUCCAGCAAUACCGCGUGAAUGAUGAAGGCCUUAGGGUUGUAAAGUUCUUUUAGUUGGAAAGAUAAUGACGGUACCAACAGAAAAAGCCCCGGCUAACUCCGUGCCAGCAGCCGCGGUAAGACGGAGGGGGCUAGCGUUGUUCGGAAUUACUGGGCGUAAAGGGCGCGUAGGCGGAUUAGUAAGUUGGGAGUGAAAGCCCGGGGCUUAACCUCGGAACUGCUUUCAAAACUGCUAGUCUUGAGUGAAGUAGGGGAUGAUGGAAUUCCUAGUGUAGAGGUGAAAUUCUUAGAUAUUAGGAGGAACACCGGUGGCGAAGGCGGUCAUCUGGACUUCAGCUGACGCUGAGGCGCGAAAGCGUGGGGAGCAAACAGGAUUAGAUACCCCUGUAGUC
Molecule: ribosomal RNA, 439 nt
Filed under: uncultured bacterium
Lineage: Bacteria
Description: partial 16S ribosomal RNA
Rfam family: Bacterial small subunit ribosomal RNA
Source: RNAcentral